This 301-nucleotide ribosomal RNA is filed under the name uncultured bacterium. RNAcentral describes it as "partial 16S ribosomal RNA". It matches the Rfam family "Bacterial small subunit ribosomal RNA", at positions 509 to 807 of the family's 1533-position model. The record is from RNAcentral.
CAGCCGCCGCGGUAAAACGUAGGUGGCAAGCGUUGUCCGGAAUUAUUGGGAGUAAAGGGCUCGCAGGCGGUUUCUUAAGUCUGAUGUGAAAGCCCCCGGCUCAACCGGGGAGGGUCAUUGGAAACUGGGAAACUUGAGUGCAGAAGAGGAGAGUGGAAUUCCACGUGUAGCGGUGAAAUGCGUAGAGAUGUGGAGGAACACCAGUGGCGAAGGCGACUCUCUGGUCUGUAACUGACGCUGAGGAGCGAAAGCGUGGGGAGCGAACAGGAUUAGAUACCCCCGUAGUCCCUGUCUCUUAUAC